RNAcentral lists this ribosomal RNA (261 nucleotides) under uncultured bacterium. RNAcentral's name for it is "partial 16S ribosomal RNA". It matches the Rfam family "Bacterial small subunit ribosomal RNA", at positions 524 to 777 of the family's 1533-position model. The record is from RNAcentral.
UACGUAGGGGGGCAAGCGUUGUCCGGAUUUAUUGGGCGUAAAGAGCGUGUAGGCGGCCAGGGAGGUCCGUUUGUGAAAACUCGAGGCCUCAACCUCUAGACGUCGACCGAAACCAUCUGGCUAGAGUCCGGAAGAGGAGAGUGGAAUUCCUGGUGUAGCGGUGAAAUGCGCAGAUAUCAGGAAGAACACCCGUGGCGAAAAGCGGCUCCUCUGGGGACGGUACUGACGCGAGACGCGAAAGCGUGGGGGAGCGAAACAGGG